RNAcentral lists this ribosomal RNA (447 nucleotides) under Pseudomonas sp. RNAcentral describes it as "bacterial SSU rRNA". It matches the Rfam family "Bacterial small subunit ribosomal RNA", at positions 294 to 733 of the family's 1533-position model. The record is from RNAcentral. Lineage: Bacteria; Pseudomonadati; Pseudomonadota; Gammaproteobacteria; Pseudomonadales; Pseudomonadaceae.
GAGAGGAUGAUCAGUCACACUGGAAUUGAGACACGGUCCAGACUCCUACGGGAGGCAGCAGUGGGGAAUAUUGGACAAUGGGCGAAAGCCUGAUCCAGCCAUGCCGCGUGUGUGAAGAAGGUCUUCGGAUUGUAAAGCACUUUAAGUUGGGAGGAAGGGCAUUAACUUAAUACGUUAGUGUUUUGACGUUACCGACAGAAUAAGCACCGGCUAACUCUGUGCCAGCAGCCGCGGUAAUACAGAGGGUGCAAGCGUUAAUCGGAAUUACUGGGCGUAAAGCGCGCGUAGGUGGUUUGUUAAGUCGGAUGUGAAAUCCCCGGGCUCAACCUGGGAACUGCAUUCAAAACUGACAAGCUAGAGUAUGGUAGAGGGUGGUGGAAUUUCCUGUGUAGCGGUGAAAUGCGUAGAUAUAGGAAGGAACACCAGUGGCGAAGGCGACCAUCCUGG